Molecule: ribosomal RNA, 253 nt
Filed under: uncultured bacterium
Lineage: Bacteria
Description: partial 16S ribosomal RNA
Rfam family: Bacterial small subunit ribosomal RNA
Source: RNAcentral
UACGUAGGGUGCGAGCGUUGUCCGGAAUUAUUGGGCGUAAAGGGCUCGUAGGCGGUUUGUCGCGUCGGGAGUGAAAUCCACUGGCUUAACUGGUGGCUUGCUUUCGAUACGGGCAGACUGGAGGUAUGCAGGGGAGAACGGAAUUCCUGGUGUAGCGGUGAAAUGCGCAGAUAUCAGGAAGAACACCGAUGGCGAAGGCAGCUCUCUGGGACGGUACUGACGCUGAGACGCGAAAGCGUGGGGAGCGAACAGG